GACGAACGCUGGCGGCGUGCCUAAUACAUGCAAGUAGAACGCUGAAGAGAGGAGCUUGCUCUUCUUGGAUGAGUUGCGAACGGGUGAGUAACGCGUAGGUAACCUGCCUUGUAUCGGGGGAUAACUAUUGGAAACGAUAGCUAAUACCGCAUAACAAUGGCUGACACAUGUCAUUUAUUUGAAAGGGGCAAUUGCUCCACUACAAGAUGGACCUGCGUUGUAUUAGCUAGUAGGUGAGGUAAUGGCUCACCUAGGCGACGAUACAUAGCCGACCUGAGAGGGUGAUUGGCCAAACUGGGACUGAGACACGGCCCAGACUCCUACGGGAAGCAGCAGUAGGGAAUCUUCGGCAAUGGGGGCAACCCUGACCGAGCAACGCCGCGUGAGUGAAGAAGGUUGUCGGAUCGUAAAGCUCUGUUGUAAGUCAAGAACGGGUGUGAGAGUGGAAAGUUCACACUGUGACGGUAGCUUACCAGAAAGGGACGGCUAACUACGUG
Molecule: ribosomal RNA, 497 nt
Filed under: uncultured bacterium
Lineage: Bacteria
Description: partial 16S ribosomal RNA
Rfam family: Bacterial small subunit ribosomal RNA
Source: RNAcentral